GGGUAUAACGAAAUAUGACCCCGCUUUGCAAGCAGGGGGUUACGGGUUCGAGUCCCGUUGGCUCCACCA
This 69-nucleotide transfer RNA is filed under the name Branchiibius sp. NY16-3462-2. RNAcentral's name for it is "tRNA-Ala". Lineage: Bacteria; Bacillati; Actinomycetota; Actinomycetes; Micrococcales; Dermacoccaceae. The record is from RNAcentral.